Molecule: ribosomal RNA, 361 nt
Filed under: Vishniacozyma alagoana
Lineage: Eukaryota; Fungi; Basidiomycota; Tremellomycetes; Tremellales; Bulleribasidiaceae
Description: partial large subunit ribosomal RNA
Source: RNAcentral
CGGUUSUGUGCAGGGCACCACGCUUGUGAAUCGGGGGGAGCUCAAAUUUAWAAUCUGGCGUCCUUCRGGCGUCCGAGUUGUAAUCUAUAGAGGCGUUUUCCGCGCCGGACCGCGUCCAAGUCCCUUGGAAUAGGGUAUCAAAGAGGGUGACAAUCCCGUACUUGACGCGACGACCGGUGCUCUGUGAUACGUUCUCAACGAGUCGAGUUGUUUGGKAAUGCAGCUCUAAAUGGGUGGUAAAUUCCAUCUAAKGCUMAAUAUUGGCGAGAGACCGAUAGCSAACAAGUACCGUGAGGGAAAGAUGAAAAGCACUUUGGAAAGAKAGUUWAACAGCACGUGAAAUUGUUGAAAGGGAAACKAU